RNAcentral lists this ribosomal RNA (531 nucleotides) under uncultured Roseiflexus sp. Its description in RNAcentral is "bacterial SSU rRNA". It matches the Rfam family "Bacterial small subunit ribosomal RNA", at positions 355 to 896 of the family's 1533-position model. The record is from RNAcentral. Lineage: Bacteria; Bacillati; Chloroflexota; Chloroflexia; Chloroflexales; Roseiflexaceae.
CAAGGAAUUGUCGGCGAAUGGGGCGCAAGCCUGACCGAGCAACGCCGCGUGCGGGAUGACGGCCUUCGGGUUGUAGACCGCUUUUCGGGGGGGACGAUGACGACGGUACCCCCGGAAGAAGCCCCGGCUAACUCUGUGCCAGCAGCCGCGGUAAGACAGAGGGGGCGAGCGUUGUCCGGAGUUACUGGGCGUAAAGCGCGCGCAGGCGGCGGCCUAAGUGUCGUGUGAAAGCCCCCGGCUCAACCGGGGGAGGCCAUGGCAGACUGGGUCGCUGGAGCCGCAGAGAGGCCCCUCGAAUUGCCGGUGUAGCGGUGAAAUGCGUAGAGAUCGGCAGGAAGACCAAGGGGGAAGCCAGGGGGCUGGCUGCGGGCUGACGCUGAGGCGCGACAGCGUGGGGAGCAAACCGGAUUAGAUACCCGGCUAGUCCACGCCGUAAACGAUGACCACUCGGCGUGUGGCGACUAUUGACGUCGCGGCGCGCCCAAGCUCACGCGAUAAGUGGUCCGCCUGGGAACUACGAGCGCAAGCUUA